RNAcentral lists this ribosomal RNA (330 nucleotides) under uncultured bacterium. Its description in RNAcentral is "bacterial SSU rRNA". It matches the Rfam family "Bacterial small subunit ribosomal RNA", at positions 568 to 898 of the family's 1533-position model. The record is from RNAcentral.
UUCGUAGGCGGUGCGGCAAGUCGGGAGUGAAAUCUCUGGGCUUAACUCAGAGGCUGCUUCCGAAACUGCCGUGCUCGAGUGUGGGAGAGGCGCGUGGAAUUGCAGGUGUAGCGGUGAAAUGCGUAGAUAUCUGCAGGAACACCCGUGGCGAAAGCGGCGCGCUGGACCACAACUGACGCUGAGGAACGAAAGCUAGGGGAGCAAACAGGAUUAGAUACCCUGGUAGUCCUAGCCCUAAACGAUCAGGACUUGGGGUGGCUUCCGUUCGGAAGUCGUCCCGGAGCUAACGCGUUAAGUCCUGCACCUGGGGAGUACGGUCGCAAGACUGAA